ACGGGAGGCAGCAGUGGGGAAUAUUGGACAAUGGGGGAAACCCUGAUCCAGCGACGCCGCGUGAGUGAAGAAGUAUUUCGGUAUGUAAAGCUCUAUCAGCAAGGAAGAAAAUGACGGUACUUGACUAAGAAGCUCCGGCUAAAUACGUGCCAGCAGCCGCGGUAAUACGUAUGGAGCAAGCGUUAUCCGGAUUUACUGGGUGUAAAGGGAGCGUAGACGGUAAUGCAAGUCAGAAGUGAAAGCCCAAGGCUCAACCAUGGGACUGCUUUUGAAACUGUAAUACUAGAGUGCAGGAGAGGUAAGUGGAAUUCCUAGUGUAGCGGUGAAAUGCGUAGAUAUUAGGAGGAACACCAGUGGCGAAGGCGGCUUACUGGACUGUAACUGACGUUGAGGCUCGAAAGCGUGGGGAGCAAACAGGAUUAGAUACCCUGGUA
This 434-nucleotide ribosomal RNA is filed under the name uncultured Clostridium sp. RNAcentral's name for it is "partial 16S ribosomal RNA". It matches the Rfam family "Bacterial small subunit ribosomal RNA", at positions 341 to 792 of the family's 1533-position model. RNAcentral also lists the same sequence under 1 other name. Lineage: Bacteria; Bacillati; Bacillota; Clostridia; Eubacteriales; Clostridiaceae. The record is from RNAcentral.